Molecule: RNA transcript, 3746 nt
Organism: Sapajus apella (tufted capuchin)
Lineage: Eukaryota; Metazoa; Chordata; Mammalia; Primates; Cebidae
Gene: XPA
Gene name: XPA, DNA damage recognition and repair factor
Exons: 7
Source: RefSeq, a predicted model, not a curated record
GCUCUCACUCCGAAAGGCCGCUGGGUGAGCGCAGAGGCGGUGCAGGGCGGCGGACUCGCCUAGGCGCGCCGAGCGUGUGCGUGGGGUUGCGAGCUACGUCCUCGGAGGGGGUCGGAGAUGGCGGCGGCCGACGGGGCUUCGUCGGAGGCGGCGGCUUCAGAGCAACCCGCGGAGCUGCCUGCCUCGGUGCGGGCGAGUAUCGAGCGGAAGCGGCAGCGGGCGCUGAUGCUGCGCCAGGCCCGGCUGGCUGCUCGGCCCUACCCGGCGUCUGCGGCUGCGGCUACUGGAGGCAUGGCUAAUGUAAAAGCUGCCCCAAAGAUAAUUGACACAGGAGGAGGCUUCAUUUUAGAAGAGGAAGAAGAAGAAGAACAAACAAUUGGAAAAGUUGUUCAUCAACCAGGACCUGUGAUGGAAUUUGAUUAUGUAAUAUGUGAAGAAUGUGGGAAAGAAUUUAUGGAUUCUUAUCUUAUGAACCACUUUGAUUUGCCAACUUGUGAUAACUGCAGAGAUGCUGAUGAUAAACACAAGCUUAUCACUAAAACAGAGGCAAAACAAGAAUAUCUUCUGAAAGAUUGUGAUUUAGAAAAAAGAGAGCCAGCUCUUAAAUUUAUCGUGAAGAAGAAUCCUCAUCAUUCACAAUGGGGUGAUAUGAAACUAUACUUAAAGUUACAGAUUGUGAAGAGGUCUCUUGAAGUUUGGGGUAGUCAAGAAGCAUUAGAAGAAGCAAAAGAAGUCCGACAGGAAAACCGAGAAAAAAUGAAACAGAAGAAAUUUGAUAAAAAAGUAAAAGAAGUUGUUCCUGCCUUCCUGAAUAGGCCACAAAGGGCUGAGAUUGGAGUAGACACUGUAGAGAUUAGACACAAGAAGCUUACUGUGCAGUUUUCUCACAAGGCUCAGAACAGAGAGGAAUAAAAGCAAGUCUAAAAGUAUUUUAGUUGAAAAGAAAUUGGAACCUGGUUCCUCUUGGUCUUCUGAUUUUGAUCCACAAAGAAGCUGACACAGUUUACUUCUUUCUGGGAAGAAUUGCGGCGAGCAGUAAGAAGCAGCGUGUGGAAAAGAGAGACGAUUGUUCAUCAACAUGAGUAUGGACCAGAAGAAAACCUAGAAGACGACAUGUACCGGAAGACUUGUACUAUGUGUGGCCAUGAACUGACAUAUGAAAAAAUGUGAUUUUUAGUUCAGUAACCUGUUUUAUAGAAUUAUACAUUUAAAUAAAGGAAAUUAAGAUUGGUCCUAUUCAAAAUUUAAGAAAAUGCAAUGUCUUCAAAGAUGAAUGAAACCUUUAUAUAAGUAAUGCUUCAGGAACAAUUAUGUAUGUUACUGCUUAAAAGCAAGUUUGAGUGAAGGUCCACCUGGCCUGGCUGUGUGCAGAAUGUCAUGUCUGUGAUUGUUUUCUUACAACCAGGGAUGGGAGCUGAGUGCUAGAGUAGGCGCAAAAGUGGUAGGUCAGCUACAAAUUUGAGGACAAGAUACCAAAACAAACCGUAUAGACUUUGGUACAGGGAAAAGCUUUCAAAAAAGACCGUAGCCAGCUGAACUGGAUUCUUAACCAGGAAACAAAUAGCAAUGGUGGUGUACCACUGUACCCAGGUUCUGGUCAUGUUUUUUUAGGACAAUUUCUGUCUCCACGAUGGCGGAAACAGUGGGGAACUAUUGCUGGGAAACGCCCUGAUAAAUAGCAGAAAUAAAACGUUGGAGUUUGAUCAUGUAACCGCUAGUUAAUGAGCAUAUAUUAUCGAGGCCACUAUAUUACAGAAAAUAGAUUUGUCUAGUUAAGGGAUGCUUCUAUUGACUCUCUACCCUUAUCAGUUUAAGACAAUCCUAGUAUUCAGACAUCACUAACAGCUAAAUCUGCUCUACCUAGGUUGGCAAGGUCCCUUCCUCAUCUUUCAUUUUCAAGUAUAAUUAUAAAUUAGGAAAACAGUUAUGUUUACUUUGAGAAAAGCAUGUUAAAUUGCAUCAGUACAAUUUAACAAAAUAUUUAUUGCAAGGUAUGACAUACAGUGACAUGCCUGCCAUCUUUUGUCUGUGUGAACUUCAUCAGUGGGGACAGCAACUGCUGAAUGUUUGCUCUUACACCUUUGUUUCUUCAAAACUCAAUUCCUAGUUCAGUUUUUCUAUACACUUAAGCUGCUAGACUGGGACAGAACAGGAUCACAUCAGCGAAUAGUUGUUAAAAGCAACCAUUAUACAUGAAGAGAGGACCAAGAAAAAAAAUUAAAACCUACAAAUUUCUGUAGAAUGUGGAUCAAACAUAACUAGCCACACUUUUCAGUACAUUGUGAAAAAAGAUUACAAAGCAGUUUAGACUCAAAGUUACCAAUGCCUUAAAGGUUAGUUAUCCUUUGGUUUUCUGAGGACAGGAGUCAUUUCAAACUACAGUUGACCCUUCAACAACAUGGGGUUAGGGAUGCCGACACCCCGCACAGUCAAAAAUCUGCAUGUAACUUUCUACUCCCCCAAAACUUAAUCACCAAUAACCCAAUGCUGAAUGGAGACAGACCGAUAACAAACAAUUAACUCAUUUUGUGUGUUAUAUGCUAUAUUCUUAUAAAUAAGAUAGAGAAAAGAAAAUAAAAAUAUAUUUACUAUUUAAUUAGUGGAUCAUCAUAAAGGUCUUCAUCCUCGUCAUCUUCAUGUUGAGUAGGCUGAGGAAGACAAUGGGUUGGUCUUGCCAUCUCAGGGGUGGAAGAAAACCCGUGUGUAAGUGGACCCACACAGUUCAAACCUAUGUUGUUCAAGGGUCAACUGUAAUUACAUAUAAUUACAUAGUUUGUGCUGUGCUUAAGCAAUGGGAAGGAGAAACAGUAUAAACGAGAAUACUUAGCCAAGAACCUAGGUUUCAGUCCUCUAGUAACCCGCCAGGCAACCUGGAUUUUUCUGAAUAAUUGCUUUGUAUUUUGUCUUAAAUAGUAUAGUAUUUAAAAACCCUAGGAAUUCCCAUCUAUUAAAGUGCACUACAUUCUGUAGCCACUAAAAUGGAUGGUAAACCAAAGCAAAAAUACAUCAAAAUAUGGAAAACGCUUAAUGCAUCAUAAACUUGAAAUGUAAUAAGAGAAAAAUUAUAUCUUUUGUGCAAAUGCACAAAUACACUACCAGUAGUUGUACUGGUAAUUUUUUUCUAAGGUUUAAUGAAAAAAGUCUUAAUAAUACUAGAAAUUUGGAAUGUCAGAUAAUUCCUUAUACUUGCAUAUUAUUUUACAACCCACUGUCAUCUUAUUUCAGCAUCAACACCACAGGAAACAAGCUAAGGACUUCGUAGUUUUUUGGACCAGGUUCCAUAGAAACAAAAUCUGAACUCACCUUCAAUUCCAGAUACAGUUUCAGUCAAUCUGACCACUUCUAUGUCCACUUUAGUAUUCCGUAACUCACUACAAGACCUUGGACAAACCCAGAGGCUAGAGGAAGUCAGUAGAUGCUCUAAGAUAAUGGUGACCAAACCUGGAAUCACGUGGAGGAACUUUAAGGAUUACUAAGGAUGUCUGUGUUCCACCCUCAGAUUGUGGUUUAAUUUCAAAAUAACUUGAAAGAUUCCCAGCUGAUUUACAUUCAGACAAAUCUGAGAACUACUGUUCCAACUCAUGUAACACUUAUACUAACAAGUUGUGUCUUAAGAUACUACUUAAAAAUAUUUUGAACAGAUUUUGUAAAGAAAAUUUCAAAUGGAGAACACCUUCAGUAAGAAACCACCAGUUUAAGACAAAAAAAAAAAAAAAAAAAAAAAGGAAACAAACCCUACCAGUUUU